AUUGAACGCUGGCGGAAUGCUUUACACAUGCAAGUCGAACGGCAGCACGGACUUCGGUCUGGUGGCGAGUGGCGAACGGGUGAGUAAUACAUCGGAACGUGCCCAGUCGUGGGGGAUAACGUAGCGGAAGCUACGCUAAUACCGCAUACGAUCUAAGGAUGAAAGCGGGGGAUCGCAAGACCUCGCGCGAUUGGAGCGGCCGAUGGCAGAUUAGGUAGUUGGUGGGGUAAAGGCCUACCAAGCCGACGAUCUGUAGCUGGUAUGAGAGGACGAGCAGCGACACUGGGACUGAGACACGGCGCAGACUCCUGUGGGAGGCAGCAUGGGGGAAAUUUGGACAAUGGGCGCAAGCCUGAUCCAGCCAUGCCGCGUGGAGGAUGAAGGCCCUCGGGUUGUGAACUGCUAUUGUACGGAACGAAAAGGCUCUGGUUAAUACGCGGGGCUCAGGACGGUACCGUAAGAAUAAGCACCGGCUAACUACGUGCCGGCGGACGCGGUAA
RNAcentral lists this ribosomal RNA (500 nucleotides) under uncultured bacterium. Its description in RNAcentral is "partial 16S ribosomal RNA". It matches the Rfam family "Bacterial small subunit ribosomal RNA", at positions 29 to 523 of the family's 1533-position model. The record is from RNAcentral.